AAUUUAAUAACGGAAACAGGUGCUUGCCGGAAGAUUAGUAGUUCCGGUUAGCUUAAUAGGGAAGUUCGGUGUAAAGCCGACGCGGUCCCGCCACUGUAACGGAAGAGUUCUUAGCAACGAUUGUCACUGGCAGAUUACUACUGCCGGGAAGACUGCUUAAGGAUGUUGACGCCGAUAGCCAGGAGACCUGCCUGUUUCGACAGCACUGC
Molecule: non-coding RNA, 209 nt
Filed under: Paenibacillus wynnii
Lineage: Bacteria; Bacillati; Bacillota; Bacilli; Caryophanales; Paenibacillaceae
Source: RNAcentral